RNAcentral lists this ribosomal RNA (253 nucleotides) under uncultured bacterium. Its description in RNAcentral is "partial 16S ribosomal RNA". It matches the Rfam family "Bacterial small subunit ribosomal RNA", at positions 524 to 776 of the family's 1533-position model. The record is from RNAcentral.
UACGUAGGGGGCAAGCGUUGUCCGGAAUUAUUGGGCGUAAAGAGCGUGUAGGCGGCCAGAUAAGUCCGCUGUGAAAUCUCGAGGCUCAACUUCGAGCUGUCGGUGGAAACUAUCUGGCUAGAGUCCGGAAGAGGAGAGUGGAAUUCCUGGUGUAGCGGUGAAAUGCGCAGAUAUCAGGAGGAACACCGGUGGCGAAGGCGGUUCUCUGGGCAUGUUCUGACGCUGAGGAGCGAAAGUGUGGGGAGCGAACAGG